RNAcentral lists this unclassified non-coding RNA (428 nucleotides) under Artemisia desertorum. RNAcentral describes it as "partial external transcribed spacer". Lineage: Eukaryota; Viridiplantae; Streptophyta; Magnoliopsida; Asterales; Asteraceae. The record is from RNAcentral.
UGAGUGGUGUUUGGUUUGUUACGUGUGGUUGGCUGCGGCGUUUGCAACAACUUCCAUGCUUUCAGACCUCUUCAGUUGUGCGGCAAGGCUUGUAUCGCCUUGAGCGUAUUGUGGGUUUUCUGUGUUGACUACCUAAUCAAUGGUAUCGGUUGGAUUGAUCAAAGUUUCAUUUCGUCUUCCGUCGCAUUCGCGGCGUGAGAUGAACCUCGACGCGGUCUCUUUGAUCCACCUCGUCAAAGCACAUGCUUUGACGUUGUGGCACAUUGAGCAUUGCUUGGUCUCUUGUAUACGGAACAUAUAGUGGGCAUGGAUCUAACGAUUCUUGUUUGCCCUCAUAUUAGCGUAACGCUUCUCUAACACGACUUGCUCCACGUUUUAGCUCGUACGGACGUGGUGCUAUGUCGAAGAGGAAUGCUACCUGGUUGAUC